This 523-nucleotide ribosomal RNA is filed under the name uncultured bacterium. Its description in RNAcentral is "bacterial SSU rRNA". It matches the Rfam family "Bacterial small subunit ribosomal RNA", at positions 8 to 518 of the family's 1533-position model. The record is from RNAcentral.
AGAGUUUGAUUACUGGCUCAGGAUGAACGCUAGCUACAGGCUUAACACAUGCAAGUCGCGGGGCAGCAUGGAGGUUGCUUGCAACUUCCGAUGGCGACCGGCGCACGGGUGAGUAACGCGUAUCCAACCUUCCCCAUAGUAGGGGAUAGCCCGGCGAAAGUCGGAUUUAAUACCCUAUGUUGUCCGAAGAUGGCAUCUGAUUCGGAGCAAAGAUUUAUCGCUAUGGGAUGGGGAUGCGUCCGAUUAGCUUGCCGGCGGGGUAACGGCCCACCGGGGCAACGAUCGGUAGGGUUCUGAGAGGAAGGUCCCCCCACACUGGUACUGAGACACGGACCAGACUCCUACGGGAGGCAGCAGUGAGGAAUAUUGGUCAAUGGGCGGGAGCCUGAACCAGCCAAGUAGCGUGCAGGAUGACGGCCCUACGGGUUGUAAACUGCUUUUAUGCGGGGAUAAAGUGACGUACGCGUACGUUUUUGCAGGUACCGCAUGAAUAAGGACCGGCUAAUUCCGUGCCAGCAGCUGC